Molecule: ribosomal RNA, 468 nt
Filed under: uncultured bacterium
Lineage: Bacteria
Description: partial 16S ribosomal RNA
Rfam family: Bacterial small subunit ribosomal RNA
Source: RNAcentral
GACGAACGCUGGCGGCGUGCUUAACACAUGCAAGUCGAACGGAAAGGCCCUGCUUUUGUGGGGUUCUCGAGUGGCGAACGGGUGAGUAACACGUGAGUAACCUGCCCUUGACUUUGGGAUAACUUCAGGAAACUGGGGCUAAUACCGGAUAGGAGCUCCUGCUGCAUGGUGGGGGUUGGAAAGUUUCGGCGGUUGGGGAUGGACUCGCGGCUUAUCAGCUUGUUGGUUGGGUAGUGGCUUACCAAGGCUUUGACGGGUAGCCGGCCUGAGAGGGUGAACGGCCACAUUGGGAGUGAGAGACGGCCAAGCCUCCUACCGGAGGCAGCAGUGGGGAAUAUUGCCCAAUGGGCGGAAGCCAGAUGUAGCACCGCCGCGUGCGGGAUGACGGCCUUCGGGUUGUAAACCGCUUUCGCCUGUGACGAAGCGUGAGUGACGGUAAUGGGUAAAGAAGCACCGGCUAACUACGUG